AAAGGCCUCUGGGAGAAACCGCACUUGGAACCUGGGGAAACACCGAGGGUCCUCCUGGACGCAGGGGCUGCCCGGCCCUCAGGGCUCCCUGCCAUGGGGCUGCACAUUGGCCCCUCUGUGCAGCUCCCAGGAGAGAUGGGGGUAUGUGGCUGGGCAGACACGUGUGUGCACACGGGGACAGAGCAGAGAGAGAGAGAGAGAGAGAGGUCUUCCAUCCAAUGGUUCACUCUCCAGAUGACCGAAACAGCCGGAGCUGUGCAGAUGCGAAGCCAGGAGCAGGAGCCUCUUCCUGGUCUCCCACGUGGGUACAGGGGCCCAAGCACUUGAGCCAUCCUCCACUGCUUCCCCAGGCCAUAGCAGAGAGCUGGACAGGAAGUGGAGCAGCCGGGACUUGAACUGGCACCCAUAUGUUAUGCCAGCGCUUCAGGCCAGGGCUUUAACCCACUGCACCACAGCGCCGCCCCACAAUUCAUUUUCUAUUAUCAUUGAACCAUUGUAUUUUAUUGUGUCUUUCAAAUUUUGAUUAAUCUCAAAUCUUUACCAAAAUUACAGAGUUGGUUUUCUCCAGAGUGCACAGCAAUUGGAGGCACACACUAAGUAUUGGCAGGGGCUUCUAGUCCAGUGUGGGGCUCAGCCAGGUGUCUGUAGGAGAUGGGGCAAGUGUGAGGUGACACCCUUUUCACAGAAGUGGAAAUUCCCAGCGAGGGAGGACUGGGGACUGGGCGGGGGAAGAGGAUGACCCUCGAGGGCUGGAGGGCGACUGAGUGGUGUCCUGGCAUCCUGAAAACAACAAGCGAGCUGGGGAAGUUGAGCAAAGUCACUGUCUCUUUUUAAAAAGCUUUUUGCAGUCUCUUUAUUUGUACAACAGACUAUGAUAUGUCCUUUGCAAACCUGGUGCUAGAAUUAAGUGAAAGACCAUGCGAAGCACCUGUUGUAUAGGAGACAGAAAACACAAAAGAGCUGCUACAGUAGCUGCACCUAGGAGUUGUGGCAGGUGGUAAAGCCAACAGUCUGACAACUUGGAGGCCAACUACAGGGUCUUUGGAAUGUUCCAGAAGCAAAUGCCAUGAAGGCUGCUCCUGUCACACUCCACGUGAGUGGGGGCGAGCAGGUGACUCUCGCACAGGUAGGUACGGAAGAAGCUGUGUUAAUGGACGAAGCGCAGAGGGAGAUGGUUAAGGUGCAAAAUGCUGAGACAUCGGGGUCUUCCCUGUGUCAGUGUGCAGGAAGGCAGAGGGAGAAAGUGGGGCUGGGGACCAGGCUUCCUACCUGGGAUGGAGCAGGCCUGAGGGGAGGAGCUCUCUCCCACAGUGGCUCCAUCUCAGAUCUGCAUAGGGAUUCUUUGCCCACCCUGCCCAACGUGCCGCCCUCACUCCCAGCCCCCACAGUGCCGCCCAAGCACCGCAGGGUCAUUCUGUGCUGUCCAUCACCUCCUUGAUCCAGUCCACGUAGUUGAGCACUUUGGUGUAGAAGCUGUACCCAGUGCCACACCCGACGCCCCAGGAUACGAUGCCGGUGGCCACCCAGCGAUGGGCGUGGUCAUCCCAUACCACGUAGACGCUGCCGCUGUCUCCCUGGCAGGCACUGUUCUCCCACGUGUUGUCCCUGACACAGAACAUGUUGUCGGAAAACACCUCGGUCCUCUGCCUCUCCCGGAGCCAGGCCUCGCAGGCCUCCCUGGGAGCUAUGGGGAGCCUCGAGUAUUUCAACUUGGUGGGUAACCGGCCCAUGGCCAUGCCAAACCCGCUCACGUAGCCCGACUUGCCGCUGAGGUAGAGGGUCUCGUUGUCUGGCAGACAGACAGGGAGGAGGUGGGGGCCCAGCGGGACGCUCUGCUGGAGCUCCAGGAGGGCGAUGUCCCCGGUGAAGUUGUGGGACUCAUCUGGACGGUAAUCCGGGUGCAUAACGACCCGGCGGACGGGGUGGUUUCCCAGCUUGAUCAUCUCUUCCACGUCCGUGUGGCCCAGAAACACAUCCACACUCCGGGGCUUCUCCGGAAAGACGCUGUCCUUGGGGUGGAUGGUGUGGGCCGCCGUCAGGAUCCACCUGUCGCCCAGCAGGGCCCCGCCCCCGCGGCCGUAGAUGCUGGUGAGGGCUUGCCAGGGGAAGUUGCCCAGCUGAGCUUUGGAGGAGCCACGGCUCGUCUGGUCCUGGACAAUGGGGGUGACUGGCCGCCCGCACACUGGGAGGGAGGAGAGGUCAGGAGAGAGGAUCAGUAGCUGUGGUCGGGCUUCAAGGUCGCAGAUACGGCUAUGCAUGGGGUCACACUCUACUGUUCUGGCCCCCAACUGUAGACCAUAUGGAGAGCCAUUAGCCGUGAUUCUGACGCUUCUGGGCACAAACCCUGCAUGGGACUCAGGAGGAUGGACAGAAGGCUGGGGAGCACAGAUGAGCACAGGGUUGGGGCUGACUCUGCUGGACUCUCCCUCCUGCCUCCACAGCAAAGGCAUAAAGAGGCAUACAUAACCAGGAGCCGAAAAUGAGAAGAGGAGUAGCUGUUCAACCCAGCAGUCACAGCACCCACUGAGGUGCUCGUGUUCACGUCGGGAGGGCCUGGCUGAGACACCUGCUCCACUCCUCACUGCAACUUCCUGCUAACGCGGACCCCAGGAGGCACAGGCGAUCUUUCAAGUAAUUGGGUUCCUGCCCCUCCCUUGGGAGACCUGGCUCAAGCUCCCAGCUCUGAGCUUUGGCCCUGGCCCAGGCUGUUGUGGGCAUUUGGAGAGUGAACUGGUGGAUGGGAGCGCUCUAUGCUUCUUUGUGUGUCUGAUUUUCUCUUUCUCUAAGAAAGAAAGAAAAAUUUCAGAUAACAGCGUGAACGCCGCGGCAGACCGCGUGGCGAUGGACAAGCGGCAACCUGAGGCUGCAAUGGUAGAAGCCCGCGUGAAGCAAGAAGGCUCUCAUCACAGAACCCUGGAAAGCCUCAGGCACCGCACCGGGGCGUGAAGAACUCCUGGGGACAAGGGGACAGAGCCUGUAGGAGGGGCAGGUGCUGGUUCAGUCGCUUGGGAGCAGUGCGCGCCUCCGUAUCAGGGUCUUGGUUUGAGUCCUGGCUCCUCUGCUACUGAUCCGGCUUCCUGCUAAUGUGCAUCCUGGGAGGCAGAGGUGGCGGCUCAAGCAGUUAGCACCAUCCACGUGAGAGACCCAGAUGGAGUUCCUGGCUCCUGUCUUCAGCCUGGCCUAGGCUUGACUAUUGCAGGCACUCGGGGAGUGGACCAGUGGAUGAAAGAUCUGUCUCUCUCCUCCUCUCUCCAUUUCAAAUAAAGUGGGGGAAUAAAAGUCCUUGUGAGGACACCUCAGAAUCCGAGAUCCUCCCACCCACCUAGCACCUCUGGGCAGCUCCCUCCGUCCCCCAGCAGAAGACCUGAGCUUGACCUUGACCCAGAGGCUGUGGACUUGGGGGUCCCUGGCUUUUUACUCUAUAGAUGCGCAAUGUUUCUGUGCCCCUUCACAAGUCUUCAAACUGCAGGGCCAUCCUGCUGCCCUCUCCCGUGCUCUGUGGGGCCUGGGUGGCAGCCAGGGACGGCGGUGCCGGUGGGAGCCCGUGCCUGGGGUACACCUUGGCCUCCUAGGUGAGCUGACUUGAGAGCCCUGCGUGCCUCCUCUAGAUGGCUGACUGAGGGCACAGCCACCUCCCACGUCCCCUGGAGCCCCUCCCCAGAGGCCCUGAAGGACCCCAGCCCAGCUCCAGCUUACUG
Molecule: non-coding RNA, 3698 nt
Organism: Oryctolagus cuniculus (rabbit)
Lineage: Eukaryota; Metazoa; Chordata; Mammalia; Lagomorpha; Leporidae
Source: RefSeq, a predicted model, not a curated record